ACCUCGAUGUCGGCUCGUCACAUCCUGGGGCUGGAGCAGGUCCCAAGGGUUCGGCUGUUCGCCGAUUAAAGUGGCACGCGAGCUGGGUUCAGAACGUCGCGAGACAGUUCGGUCCCUAUCUGUGGUGGGCGUUGGAAUUUUGAGAAGUGCUGUCCUUAGUACGAGAGGACCGGGAUGGACGCACCUCUAGUGUACCUGUUGUGGCGCCAGCUGCAUCGCAGGGUAGCUACGUGCGGAAUGGAUAAGUGCUGAAAGCAUCUAAGCACGAAGCCUGCUUCAAGAUGAGAAUUCCUUUAAGGGUCGUCGAAGACUACGACGUUGAUAGGCUGUAGGUGUAAAGUCAGUAAUGGCAAAGCCGAGCAGUACUAAUUACCCGUAGCUUUCUUAA
RNAcentral lists this ribosomal RNA (388 nucleotides) under Bacteroidetes bacterium HGW-Bacteroidetes-6. Its description in RNAcentral is "bacterial LSU rRNA". It matches the Rfam family "Bacterial large subunit ribosomal RNA", at positions 2523 to 2925 of the family's 2925-position model. Lineage: Bacteria; Pseudomonadati; Bacteroidota. The record is from RNAcentral.